Molecule: ribosomal RNA, 473 nt
Filed under: uncultured bacterium
Lineage: Bacteria
Description: bacterial SSU rRNA
Rfam family: Bacterial small subunit ribosomal RNA
Source: RNAcentral
GACGUACGCUGGCGGCGUGCCUAACACAUGCAAGUCGAGCGAGAGACUUCGGUCUCUAGCGGCGGACGGGUGAGUAACACGUGGGUAACCUGCCUCAUAGAGGGGGAUAGCCUUCCGAAAGGAAGAUUAAUACCGCAUAAUGUAUCUCUGGCGCAUGCCACAGAUAUCAAAGGAGUAAUCCACUAUGAGAUGGACCCGCGGCGCAUUAGCUAGUUGGUGAGGUAACGGCUCACCAAGGCGACGAUGCGUAGCCGACCUGAGAGGGUGAUCGGCCACAUUGGAACUGAGAUACGGUCCAGACUCCUACGGGAGGCAGCAGUGGGGAAUAUUGCACAAUGGGCGAAAGCCUGAUGCAGCAACGCCGCGUGAGUGAUGAAGGCCUUCGGGUUGUAAAGCUCUGUCUUUGGGGACGAUAAUGACGGUACCCAAGGAGGAAGCCACGGCUAACUACGUGCCAGCCGCCGCAGUAAUAC